AUCUGCAGUCGAGCGACUGAUUAGAAGCUUGCUUCUAUGACGUUAGCGGCGGACGGGUGAGUAACACGUGGGCAACCUGCCUGUAAGACUGGGAUAACUUCGGGAAACCGAAGCUAAUACCGGAUAGGAUCUUCUCCUUCAUGGGAGAUGAUUGAAAGAUGGUUUCGGCUAUCACUUACAGAUGGGCCCGCGGUGCAUUAGCUAGUUGGUGAGGUAACGGCUCACCAAGGCAACCAUGCAUAGCCCGACCUGAGAGGGUGAUCGGCCACACUGGGACUGAGACACGGCCCAGACUCCCUACGGGAGGCAGCAGUAGGGAAUCUUCCGCAAUGGACGAAAGUCUGACGGAGCAACGCCGCGUGAGUGAUGAAGGCUUUCGGGUCGUAAAACUCUGUUGUUAGGGAAGAACAAGUACAAGAGUAACUGCUUGUACCUUGACGGUACCUAACCAGAAAGCCACGGCUAACUACGUGCCAGCAGCCGCGGUAAUACGUAGGUGGCAAGCGUUAUCCGGAAUUAUUGGGCGUAAAGCGCGCGCAGGCGGUUUCUUAAGUCUGAUGUGAAAGCCCACGGCUCAACCGUGGAGGGUCAUUGGAAACUGGGGAACUUGAGUGCAGAAGAGAAAAGCGGAAUUCCACGUGUAGCGGUGAAAUGCGUAGAGAUGUGGAGGAACACCAGUGGCGAAGGCGGCUUUUUGGUCUGUAACUGACGCUGAGGCGCGAAAGCGUGGGGAGCAAACAGGAUUAGAUACCCUGGUAGUCCACGCCGUAAACGAUGAGUGCUAAGUGUUAGAGGGUUUCCGCCCUUUAGUGCUGCAGCUAACGCAUUAAGCACUCCGCCUGGGGAGUAC
RNAcentral lists this ribosomal RNA (850 nucleotides) under uncultured bacterium. RNAcentral describes it as "bacterial SSU rRNA". It matches the Rfam family "Bacterial small subunit ribosomal RNA", at positions 53 to 883 of the family's 1533-position model. The record is from RNAcentral.